UACGUAGGGUGCGAGCGUUGUCCGGAAUUAUUGGGCGUAAAGAGCUCGUAGGCGGUGUGUCACGUCGGCCGUGAAAACCUGCAGCUUAACUGUGGGCGUGCGGUCGAUACGGGCAUCACUGGAGUUCGGCAGGGGAAACUGGAAUUCCUGGUGUAGCGGUGAAAUGCGCAGAUAUCAGGAGGAACACCGGUGGCGAAGGCGGGUCUCUGGGCCGAUACUGACGCUGAGGAGCGAAAGCGUGGGGAGCAAACAGG
Molecule: ribosomal RNA, 254 nt
Filed under: uncultured bacterium
Lineage: Bacteria
Description: partial 16S ribosomal RNA
Rfam family: Bacterial small subunit ribosomal RNA
Source: RNAcentral